AGUGAACGCUGGCGGUAGGCCUAACACAUGCAAGUCGAACGGCAGCACAGUAAGAGCUUGCUCUUACGGGUGGCGAGUGGCGGACGGGUGAGGAAUACAUCGGAAUCUACUUUUUCGUGGGGGAUAACGUAGGGAAACUUACGCUAAUACCGCAUACGACCUACGGGUGAAAGCAGGGGAUCUUCGGACCUUGCGCGAUUGAAUGAGCCGAUGUCGGAUUAGCUAGUUGGCGGGGUAAAGGCCCACCAAGGCGACGAUCCGUAGCUGGUCUGAGAGGAUGAUCAGCCAUACUGGAACUGAGACACGGUCCAGACUCCUACGGGAGGCAGCAGUGGGGAAUAUUGGACAAUGGGCGCAAGCCUGAUCCAGCCAUACCGCGUGGGUGAAGAAGGCCUUCGGGUUGUAAAGCCCUUUUGUUGGGAAAGAAAAGCAGCAGGUUAAUACCCCGCUGUUCUGACGGUACCCAAAGAAUAAGCACCGGCUAACUUCGU
Molecule: ribosomal RNA, 491 nt
Filed under: uncultured bacterium
Lineage: Bacteria
Description: partial 16S ribosomal RNA
Rfam family: Bacterial small subunit ribosomal RNA
Source: RNAcentral